RNAcentral lists this ribosomal RNA (465 nucleotides) under uncultured bacterium. Its description in RNAcentral is "partial 16S ribosomal RNA". It matches the Rfam family "Bacterial small subunit ribosomal RNA", at positions 28 to 507 of the family's 1533-position model. The record is from RNAcentral.
GAUGAACGCUGGCGGCGUGCUUAACACAUGCAAGUCGAACGAUGAAGCCCAGCUUGCUGGGUGGAUUAGUGGCGAACGGGUGAGUAACACGUGAGUAACCUGCCUUAACUCUGGGAUAAGCCUGGGAAACUGGGUCUAAUACCGGAUAGGAGCGUCCACCGCAUGGUGGGUGUUGGAAAGAUUUAUCGGUUUUGGAUGGACUCGCGGCCUAUCAGCUUGUUGGUGAGGUAAUGGCUCACCAAGGCGACGACGGGUAGCCGGCCUGAGAGGGUGACCGGCCACACUGGGACUGAGACACGGCCCAGACUCCUACGGGAGGCAGCAGUGGGGAAUAUUGCACAAUGGGCGCAAGCCUGAUGCAGCGACGCCGCGUGAGGGAUGACGGCCUUCGGGUUGUAAACCUCUUUCAGUAGGGAAGAAGCGAAAGUGACGGUACCUGCAGAAGAAGCACCGGCUAACUACGUG